CAACCAACAAAGGAAAUAGCUGCUGUGAUGAGGUCAGGAGGAAAGUGGAGGAGGGAGAAUCAAGUGAGCCUCAAGGUUAAAUGAGAAGUAAUUGGCAGCUAAAAAAAAGAGAAAGAAAAGAAAAUAAGAAAAGAAAAAAAGAAAAGAAAAGACAUAAGCCAAAUCUUCAGCAUAAUAAUUUUGAAAGUAAUGGCAUAUCAUCAUAUUUUGCAGGUGUACGGAAAGCACUCUAUGGCAUUUUGCCAUUUCAUACUCUGGCUCCCAUUUCCUUUUGUCAAGAGGUUUUUGACUGAAGUCACAAUUGUCUUGGGAAAGAAAGGAUAAAAUGCUACAUGAAUAGCUUAAGUGAUAGAUUUCAGAUGAGGCUGUACAAAUACUGAACCAACAUCUGCAUUCAGGAGUAGAUGGAUGAAGGCCAAUACAUUGAAACUGCAUGCUUGGGCCUGAGCCUGACUCUAUCGAAAGAAGCAAUCUUCUCUCCAACACCUAGAAAGGGACAACUUCUCUCCAGUCUCACUGAGGAAAAUGACCCUCAUGCCAUCGGGAUUGGGCCUAGCGAAGUCCCCAAAGCCUCAUCGGGAGUGAGAAUACCCAGCUGGGUUUUGAACUUAUUGCAUCAGAGUCCAGUAGGUCAGCGCAUUAAUCAGGAACUCUGAAAUCCAGUGAGAUACUUUGUUGGGAACAGUUACAGUGUUCUGGCUAAUCUUAACUAUAAUUUUAAAGACAUUAGCUAUUUUAAAAAGCUAUUUCCCAUUCCUCCAAGCUUUAUGUCUGCUUAAAAGUUAUUUUCCAUGUUCCUUCAUAGAUGACUUAGAAUCAACAUGUAUGAAUUUACAUCUUUGGCCUACUUAGCAUAAGAGAAUUAUUUGACUUGUUGUGUUCUUUAUUAUCAUCAUUACUAUUAUUCUAUUUUACAUAUUUAAUGUUAUGUACUAAACAUCUUCCCCUGCAAGCAGUGAUAUGCCCCCCUUACAGUUUUCUUUUAUAACACAUUCAGCAUUUUUCUGAGACAUAAUUAAAACAUCAAACAGUUUUCCUGCUGGUUAUGCUAAAAUCUGCAAACUAGAGUCUGCUGGUUUUAUUGAAAAUUAAAAUAUACUGUUCUUAUGCAUAUUUAGAAUGACCUUAAAAAGUAUUUUUUUUAAAAAAUGAUUUUGUAGACCAUCGUAUAAUACUGCUGUACAAUGUUAAAGUACCUGAAUUAAAGAAUGCCUCUAAUUGGUAGCAGGAGAGUUCUUGUUAAAAUAUAAAAUAUGUAUUUUGUUCACUAUUUUCUCAGGCUUAAUGUGCCUAAUUUUCCCAUGCAACUUUAUCCCUAAGGAAAAAUAAAGAAGGAA
Molecule: long non-coding RNA, 1337 nt
Filed under: Pogona vitticeps (central bearded dragon)
Lineage: Eukaryota; Metazoa; Chordata; Lepidosauria; Squamata; Agamidae
Description: lncRNA (ENSPVIG00000010107.1)
Source: RNAcentral